AGGGUUGUGGCUCAGGGACAGAGCGCUUGCCUAGCAUGCGUGAGGCGCUGGGUUUGAUCCCCGGCAACACAU
Molecule: transfer RNA, 72 nt
Filed under: Ictidomys tridecemlineatus (thirteen-lined ground squirrel)
Lineage: Eukaryota; Metazoa; Chordata; Mammalia; Rodentia; Sciuridae
Description: Spermophilus tridecemlineatus (thirteen-lined ground squirrel) tRNA
Rfam family: tRNA
About the family: Transfer RNA (tRNA) molecules are approximately 80 nucleotides in length.
Source: Rfam by way of RNAcentral